UGUGGUGUAUUGGACAGAAACGGAAGGUAU
RNAcentral lists this non-coding RNA (30 nucleotides) under Rattus norvegicus (Norway rat). The record is from RNAcentral. Lineage: Eukaryota; Metazoa; Chordata; Mammalia; Rodentia; Muridae.